This 1326-nucleotide long non-coding RNA is filed under the name Phasianus colchicus (ring-necked pheasant). RNAcentral describes it as "lncRNA (ENSPCLG00000009823.1)". Lineage: Eukaryota; Metazoa; Chordata; Aves; Galliformes; Phasianidae. The record is from RNAcentral.
CAGGCUGGGAGGUUCUUCUCAGGCUGUUACCAGCAUGUGCUGACCUUUUUGAAACCUGCCUCUUCUCUCCUAGGUCACUACUGCCCCAGAAAUACCAAAUUUGCCACUCAGUAUCCUUGUCCUCCUGGAACAUACAGUGAUGCUUUAAAUAUCUGGGAUGCUUCCAAGUGCCAGCUGUGUCCUCCUGGAAGGGUCUGUUCCAAGCCAGGCUUAGCAAGACCAGAUGGACUGUGCAUGCCUGGAUGGUUUUGUCCACCUGGAUCCAUGUCAAGCAAGCCAAUGUUUCCUGGAAAUCACUCAGGUAUAAUAAAGUGUAAUGAUUAUUAUUAUUGUCGCAGUGGUGGUGUGGAGUCACCUAGAAGACUCAGAUGGCUUGCUUUCCCUUGCUGCUUUCUUUAAUUGAGUGCUCUAGUUCUGUUCUUAGCUCUUUAGGUAAGAUAGACCCCUUGCAAUUUUUCUGCUUCAGCUCAGUGUCUGUUCUUUCCAUCAGUGGGCACAGCAGCUCCAACUUCUGGAUCUUUUGGGCAGUGUCAAGCAGGAUCCUUUUGUCCUGUUGGUUCAUUUCUUCCUAUUCCCUGCACUCCAGGUAGGAAAAGCAUCUUUCUCCCUGCACAAAUUGCUUUAUUUUGUAGUGCUGUCUUCAGUUCUGCCAUGCUCACGAGGCAAUCCCAGUCUUGUGCUGUUUGUAUUUACAUUUUCAUGUCUCUCAGAUGGAGGGUUUUGCUUCUGUCCCCUGCAUCAGGUAUGUUCUGUGCAACUGCAGAGCUGUCAGCUCCAUCAGGUCCCUGUGAGGCUGGCUUCUACUGCACAGGGGGCUCCGUGCUGCCAAACCCCAUGGAUGGAGCAGUGGGGAACAUUUGUCCUCAAGGCCACUUCUGUCCUGCAGGGAGUUCUUCUCCAUCUCCUUGUCCCCGAGGCUCCUUUCUGGCUCAUCGUGGUGGCCAGUCAGCACAGGACUGCCAGGCCUGCUUCCCAGGGUGGUUCUGUUCUGAGUGUGGUCAGAGCUCCCCAGAAGGUCUGUGUAAGGAGGGGUGGUUCUGCCCAGAGGGCUCUGCAUCUGGGCAGCAUUCAGGUAGGAAAUCUUGGAGGUCCUUCUUCAUCUACAGGAGUUGCAAUAGGAAGAUGGCCUUAAAAUCUGCAUCCCACAGGGCUGGAAGUUAGUUUUAUAAAUUUCUGGCUGUUUAGAUUUCUAGAAAAUGUUUUCCAAGUAAUGCAGUUGAAGUAGUGGGUAACUAUAAGAGGAGGAUGGACAUCGUUUACUGGAAUUUUACUACAGCAAAAAACGAGCUGAAUAAAUAUCUUAAGAGGUGUCUAUUCCUUAUUGUG